This 363-nucleotide transfer-messenger RNA is filed under the name Escherichia coli. It matches the Rfam family "transfer-messenger RNA". From Rfam's summary of the family: Bacterial tmRNA, also known as 10Sa RNA or SsrA, is named for its dual tRNA and mRNA-like properties. The record is from RNAcentral. Lineage: Bacteria; Pseudomonadati; Pseudomonadota; Gammaproteobacteria; Enterobacterales; Enterobacteriaceae.
GGGGCUGAUUCUGGAUUCGACGGGAUUUGCGAAACCCAAGGUGCAUGCCGAGGGGCGGUUGGCCUCGUAAAAAGCCGCAAAAAAUAGUCGCAAACGACGAAAACUACGCUUUAGCAGCUUAAUAUCCUGCUUAGAGCCCUCUCUCCCUAGCCUCAGCUCUUAGGACGGGGAUCAAGAGAGGUCAAACCCAAAAGAGAUCGCGUGGAAGCCCUGCCUGGGGUUGAAGCGUUAAAACUUAAUCAGGCUAGUUUGUUAGUGGCGUGUCCGUCCGCAGCUGGCAAGCGAAUGUAAAGACUGACUAAGCAUGUAGUACCGAGGAUGUAGGAAUUUCGGACGCGGGUUCAACUCCCGCCAGCUCCACCA